RNAcentral lists this ribosomal RNA (429 nucleotides) under Bacteroidota bacterium. RNAcentral's name for it is "Bacteroidetes bacterium partial 16S ribosomal RNA". It matches the Rfam family "Bacterial small subunit ribosomal RNA", at positions 355 to 776 of the family's 1533-position model. Lineage: Bacteria; Pseudomonadati; Bacteroidota. The record is from RNAcentral.
UAGGGAAUCUUCCGCAAUGGACGCAAGUCUGACGGAGCAACGCCGCGUGAGUGAAGAAGGAUUUCGGUUCGUAAAACUCUGUUGUUAGAGAAGAACAGCGCAUAGAGUAACUGUUAUGCGUGUGACGGUAUCUAACCAGAAAGCCACGGCUAACUACGUGCCAGCAGCCGCGGUAAUACGUAGGUGGCAAGCGUUGUCCGGAUUUAUUGGGCGUAAAGCGAGCGCAGGCGGUCAAUUAAGUCUGAUGUGAAAGCCCCCGGCUCAACCGGGGAGGGUCAUUGGAAACUGGUUGACUUGAGUGCAGAAGAGGAGAGUGGAAUUCCAUGUGUAGCGGUGAAAUGCGUAGAUAUAUGGAGGAACACCAGUGGCGAAGGCGACUCUCUGGUCUGUAAAUGACGCUGAGGUUCGAAAGCGUGGGUAGCAAACAGG